RNAcentral lists this ribosomal RNA (373 nucleotides) under uncultured organism. RNAcentral's name for it is "bacterial SSU rRNA". It matches the Rfam family "Bacterial small subunit ribosomal RNA", at positions 526 to 896 of the family's 1533-position model. The record is from RNAcentral.
CGUAGGGGGCAAGCGUUACUCGGAUUCACUGGGCGUAAAGCGCGUGUAGGCGGCUGGCCAAGCGUGGUGUGAAAUCUCCGGGCUCAACCCGGAAACUGCAUCGCGAACUGGCCUGGCUGGAGUGCAGGAGAGGGAAGUGGAAUUCCCGGUGUAGCGGUGAAAUGCGUAGAUAUUGGGAGGAACACCAGUGGCGAAGGCGACUUCCUGGCCUGUAACUGACGCUGAGACGCGAAAGCGUGGGGAGCGAACCGGAUUAGAUACCCGGGUAGUCCACGCCCUAAACGUUGCGAACUAGGUGUUGGCGAGAUUGACCUCGUCAGUGCCGCAGCUAACGCAUUAAGUUCGCCGCCUGGGAAGUACGGCCGCAAGGUUA